GCGGUGCCUUCCGAGUUCCCUGGAACGGGACGCCAUAGAGGGUGAGAGCCCCGUCUGGUUGGAUGCCAAAUCUCUGUAAAGUUCCUUCGACGAGUCGAGUAGUUUGGGAUGCUGCUCUAAUGGGAGGUAUAUGUCUUCUAAGCUAAUACCGGCCGAGACCGUAGCGCACAGUAGAGUGAUCGAAAGAUGAAAGCACUUGAAAAGAGAGUAAAGUACGUGAAUUGUUGAAAGGGAAGCGUUUAUGACCAGACUUGGGCUUGGUUAAUCAUCUGGGGUUCUCCCCAGUGCACUUUUCCAGUCCAGGCCAGCAUCAGUUUUCGCCGGGG
RNAcentral lists this ribosomal RNA (326 nucleotides) under Fusarium proliferatum. RNAcentral describes it as "eukaryotic LSU rRNA". It matches the Rfam family "Eukaryotic large subunit ribosomal RNA", at positions 170 to 517 of the family's 3401-position model. Lineage: Eukaryota; Fungi; Ascomycota; Sordariomycetes; Hypocreales; Nectriaceae. The record is from RNAcentral.